Molecule: ribosomal RNA, 253 nt
Filed under: uncultured bacterium
Lineage: Bacteria
Description: partial 16S ribosomal RNA
Rfam family: Bacterial small subunit ribosomal RNA
Source: RNAcentral
UACAGAGGUCCCAAGCGUUGUUCGGAUUCACUGGGCGUAAAGGGUGCGUAGGUGGCUGGGUAAGUUUGAUGUGAAAUCUCCGGGCUUAACCCGGAAAUGGCAUUGAAUACUAUUCGGCUAGAGGUUUGGAGGGGGGACUGGAAUUCUCGGUGUAGCAGUGAAAUGCGUAGAUAUCGAGAGGAACACCAGUGGCGAAGGCGAGUCUCUGGACGACUCCUGACACUGAGGCACGAAAGCCGGGGGAGCAAACAGG